CCUACGGGUGGCAGCAGUGGGGAAUAUUGGACAAUGGGCGAAAGCCUGAUCCAGCCAUGCCGCGUGUGUGAAGAAGGCCUUCGGGUUGUAAAGCACUUUCAGUGGGGAAGAAAGCCUUGGGGCUAAUACCCUCGAGGAAGGACAUCACCCACAGAAGAAGCACCGGCUAACUCCGUGCCAGCAGCCGCGGUAAUACGGGAGGGUGCGAGCGUUAAUCGGAAUUACUGGGCGUAAAGCGCGCGUAGGCGGUCUGAUAAGCCGGUUGUGAAAGCCCCGGGCUCAACCUGGGAACGGCAUCCGGAACUGACAGGUUAGGGUGAAGGAGAGGAAGGUAGAUUCCCGGGUUAGGGGGUGAAAGCGGUAGGGACCGGGAGGAAAACCAGGGGGGGAGGCGGCCUUCUGGACGGAAACGGACGCUGAGGUGCGAAAGCGUGGGUAGCAACCAGGAUUAGAUACCCGGUAGUC
Molecule: ribosomal RNA, 465 nt
Filed under: Vreelandella stevensii
Lineage: Bacteria; Pseudomonadati; Pseudomonadota; Gammaproteobacteria; Oceanospirillales; Halomonadaceae
Description: partial 16S ribosomal RNA
Rfam family: Bacterial small subunit ribosomal RNA
Source: RNAcentral